CCGUUCUGAAGUGGCUCAAAAAUUAUAUAAUUGAUUUUGCCUAAGUGAUGAGUUUUGUGUCAGACGAACUUGCAAAUGUUUUAAAAUCGGUGUACAGGAUGGAGGAGGGUGGUGAAAAUAACAGCGAUGAGGAUUCUUCUUCUAAGGUAGACAAAAAGAAUGAGGAGGUUUUAAAAGAGAAACGCUCUAGAAAACAUAAGCACAAGAAACACUCCAAGUCGAAGUCAAAGGACAAGAAAAAGCAUAAAAAACGAAAACUCAAGUCAAGAUCAAGAUCACGUUCACUGUCUCGAUCGAGAUCACGGACACCAGACGAAAUUGAAAUCGAUUUUGUUCUUGAGAAAGAAAAAAAUCUUGACACCGAAGAAAAGGAGGGUGAGCCUGCGUUACAGUAUGGCACUAGUGGUUCUGGUAACGUUGUUCACUCAGCACAGACUAACUGCGACGAAAAACCUUCUAUCCAGGAUGUUCAUGGAUCCAAAACUUUGGAUUCCAAAGAAGAAAAGCUAGAGAGUUCUAUGAAAGGUAUCACUUCCAGAAACGACAAAAGUGACAUGAUUUUGGCUCCAUUUGCUGCAAAAAUAGAUGUGAAAAGAAUUUGUGGCAGUAAUCGUCCAAGGAGUGCUGCAAAAGAGUUGAAAAAUAAAAAGAGCAAUUCAUCCUCCGGGAGUAAGUCAAAGUCACCAGAUUCUGAAUUGUCCGGAAAUGACAAUGAGAGAGACUCAAGAUCUCAUUCCAGUGUCAGAGAGACUAGAAGAAAGUCCAGUCCACGAUCAAGUUCCAAGCAAUCAGCAAACAAGUCUAGGUCACGGUCACACUCAAGAAAAAAAUCAUCUAAAAAGAAAUCAAGGUCGCGGUCACAUUCAAGGAGUAAAACAUCCAAAAAGAGAUCAAGGUCAAGGUCAAACUCAAAAGGGAAUCACCGCAAAAGGACUGUAUCCAAGUCAAGAUCACGUUCAUAUUCAUACAACAGUAGGUCAAGGUCUAGGUCUCCAAGACGAAGGAAAAGAUCAUUCUCUAGAUCAGGAAGACAUAAAAGAUCACCCUCCAGGUCACGCCAUAAAUCUCCCGUACUUAAAAGUUUAAGACAAUUUUCUCCACCUUCCUGGAAAAGAAAUGUAGGAUCUCUCAGGAGGCAAAGGUCAAGAUCACACUCUAGAUCUGGUAGGUCACCUCCAAGGAGAAGGAGUUCUCUAAGAAGGAGACUGUCACGUUCAAGAUCAAAAGGAAGAAGGUCACACUCUAGAUCAAGAACUCAAACCCCAAGGAAGAGAUCACGAUCCUUUUCUAGGGAUAGGAGACACAAAAGAUCCAGGUCAAGGUCAAGCUCAGGAGGAAGAGGUCAAAGGUCAACAUCCAGAGACAGAAGGAGGAAUAGGAGUACUAGAUCUCAGUCAAAAUCAAAGGAAAAAACACAACCAAGCAAUCCUUCAUCAGUGUCUAAUGUACCAGUAACAGAUAAAAUAUCUACUUUGAUUAACAAACCAGUCGCAACUGAUCUUUCUGCACAGCAGACAAAAGUUGCUCAGAGGGCUGGAGGGAAAACUAUUGCUGAACUUACUGCUUUUUGUAAAAAGCUACAGGAUGAAAAGGAUAGUGUAAACAGUGGUAACACAAGUGUGAUAACUCUAAAAAAGGAAGAAGAUUCUCAGCCAGUAGCACACCAUCCAUUUUUGAUAAAAGAAAAACCAGAUAUCACAAUACCACCUGUCAUCUUUCCAGUGAACAAGCCCAUGAUCCCAAUAGUAGGGUCAUCCAAACCACUGCAGGAGCAGUUUCCUGUGUCAAGUGGAAAUAAACAUAGAGAAAAAGAAGAUGUCAGUGAUGGGGCUGAAAUGGUUACCAACACAGAUGGCACGGCAAUUCAGACACAACCAAAAGUAGAAGUGUUUCCUCAACCUUCUGAUGAGAAACUGGACAUCAGUUACCUUGUUGCUAAGCGAAUGGAUGCGCAACGUCGGCUGCAGACAGACCCUAAUGACAUUGAAGCACUGUUGGUUCUUCAGGAAAUUCAAAUGAAGAUGCAGAAUUGGUGUCAAUCAAAUGUUAAGCCAGGCCAGUUUACUGGAGAGCUUGUGAAGAAUCUUUUGCCAAAGGAAGAUUUGCAGGGAGGCUUCCAGGCAUGGGCUAAAAAGGACAUGUUCCACAACCUCACACCAGUUUCUGGCGGUAUUGGAAUGAAACUUCUCCAAAAGAUGGGUUGGAAACCUGGACAAGUAAUUGGCAAAAGAGGGGAAGGUUAUGCUGAACCCAUUGCUCUCACUGUCAAAAUUGAUAGGAAGGGUCUCAGUGCAGGAAAGGAAAAGGCCACCAAGAAAAGUGCUCCGACAGUUCUGGACCUACAAGCAGUAAAAGGCAUCAACCCCUUUGAAAUGAAGCCUGCAUACAAGCAAUUCAAUUUGCAAUGCCUCUUGAUCCGAUGUUGAGAAUUUUAGCAACACAAGGAGAUUGUACCAUCAAAUGAUGAUCACACGAAGACUUAUUUAUGAUGAAGUCAGGAAAGCACCCUGUGUCUGCCCUGGCUGAGUACUGCAGUAAAAGGAAAUGGCAACUGCCUGACUACACUUUAGUCUUUGAUCAUGG
This 2583-nucleotide unclassified non-coding RNA is filed under the name Stylophora pistillata. RNAcentral's name for it is "protein SON-like, transcript variant X1". The record is from RNAcentral. Lineage: Eukaryota; Metazoa; Cnidaria; Anthozoa; Scleractinia; Pocilloporidae.